GCCUGGCUGGCUCAGUCAGUAGAGCAUGAGACUCCUGAUCCCAGGAUCAUGAGUUCAAGCCCUAUGUUGGGCA
Molecule: transfer RNA, 73 nt
Filed under: Canis lupus familiaris (dog)
Lineage: Eukaryota; Metazoa; Chordata; Mammalia; Carnivora; Canidae
Also listed under: 1 other name
Rfam family: tRNA
About the family: Transfer RNA (tRNA) molecules are approximately 80 nucleotides in length. Their secondary structure includes four short double-helical elements and three loops (D, anti-codon, and T loops).
Source: Rfam by way of RNAcentral